CUAAGGUGGCGCGUAAACACUCGGCUGCGGCUCACAAACACAGGACUGUGUGGUUGCUAAGCUCUCGGCGCUGUAGCGUGAAAAAUAAAAUCUGAGGGUUUUUCCCCGAUGCUUCAUCCUGACUGAGCUGGAUGAAGACCCAGUCUGGAUCAGGAACGAUUCAUCUGUUACCACAGUGUGAUGAUGCUGAGUGAGAAGCCCACACGUUUCCCUCAGCACCUCCACAGCCAGGCGAGACAGGAACCAAACCGCUGUGGCUUUGUGGUCAGCUCACGUCAAACGUCUGCCAGUGUGGAAUUCACCAGCUAUGUCUUUUUGGUUUUCAUGUGGGCUCAAAAAAAAAGAGAGAGAUCCUGCUACGUACAAGUGGGAGAGGAAAAGAGCUUCAUGUUUAACAUGUGCUGCGACGUGUUUAAUAAGAAACCCACAUCUGCUGCGAGAGGUUCAGUAAGGAUGAAGUAAAAAUCUGAUGUUUGAUGAAAUUUAAAAAGGCUUUGGACUGGGGGAGGAAACCAGAGUACCUGGAAGAGCAUGCAAACUCACCCACACAGGGCGGAUGUGGGAUUUAAGCCCCCAACCCCCGAGGUGAAAUGCAAAGAUGAUGUCACUCCCGGUCCAUCCGAUAGUGGCCUGAGAUCGUUUUAUUUGUCCGAAGAGGACGAAACCACACCUCCCACAUCAGGAAACCAUUCCGUUGAACUUCCUUUUCUGCUUCCAAGAUGCAUUCUUCUGGACGUGACCGAGACAGAGACCGGAUUUUUGCAUUGCUUCAUGAGAAAACAGGCACUUGUAAUUUCUCUGGCCUGAGUUACACCCUCUCUAACAGCCAGUGUGUUGGUUUUGGUUCUGGUUCUGAUCCUGCUCGAAAAUAGAAACAGAAAAUAAAUGAUAGUCUUAGCUAUAAAAAUAGCGUUGCUACAAAUUUGGAAAUUCUUAAUUACUUUUCAGCUUCUCUUUGGUCCUUCAUGCAACACUGAGACACCUAACACAGGAAAUACGU
This is a long non-coding RNA of Ictalurus punctatus (channel catfish), 1000 nucleotides long. Lineage: Eukaryota; Metazoa; Chordata; Actinopteri; Siluriformes; Ictaluridae. The record is from Ensembl.